UAAGGAAUAUUGGUCAAUGGACGCAAGUCUGAACCAGCCAUGCCGCGUGAAGGAUGAAGGUCCUCUGGAUUGUAAACCUCUUUUAUCUGGGACGAAAACGGGAUUUUUAUCUCAAUUGACGGUACCAGAGGAAUAAGCACCGGCUAACUCCGUGCCAGCAGCCGCGGUAAUACGGAGGGUGCGAGCGUUAUCCGGCUUUACUGGGUUUAAAGGGUGCGUAGGUGGGCUUAUAAGUCAGUGGUGAAAUCUCCGAGCUUAACUUGGAAACUGCCGUUGAUACUAUAGGUCUUGAAUUAUCUGGAGGUAAGCGGAAUAUGUCAUGUAGCGGUGAAAUGCUUAGAUAUGACAUAGAACACCAAUUGCGAAGGCAGCUUACUACAUAUAAAUUGACGCUGAGGCACGAAAGCGUGGGGAUCAAACA
Molecule: ribosomal RNA, 421 nt
Filed under: uncultured bacterium
Lineage: Bacteria
Description: bacterial SSU rRNA
Rfam family: Bacterial small subunit ribosomal RNA
Source: RNAcentral